UGGCAGUGACGAAGCAUGAGUUUAUCCGCGCUUCUGAAAAGCCGUGAUGACAUUUACUCUUAUGGUUGAAUUUCUUGAUCCGAGCCA
Molecule: small nucleolar RNA, 87 nt
Organism: Gonium pectorale
Lineage: Eukaryota; Viridiplantae; Chlorophyta; Chlorophyceae; Chlamydomonadales; Volvocaceae
Source: Rfam